GUCCCUGUUGGUCGGUCCGCCUUCUUGGUGUGUACUUACUCAACGGGGACUUACCUUCUGGUGAGCUGCAUGCCCUUUACUGGGUGUGUAGGGAACCAGAACGUUUACUUUGAAAAAAUUAGAGUGUUCAAAGCAGGCCUACGCCCGAAUACAUUAGCAUGGAAUAAUAGAAUAGGACGCGCGUUCCCAUUUUGUUGGUUUCUGAGAUCGCCGUA
This 215-nucleotide ribosomal RNA is filed under the name uncultured fungus. Its description in RNAcentral is "partial small subunit ribosomal RNA". The stretch from base 84 to 215 matches the Rfam family "Eukaryotic small subunit ribosomal RNA", at positions 731 to 864 of the family's 1831-position model. The record is from RNAcentral. Lineage: Eukaryota; Fungi.